UGGCUCAGAACGAACGCUGGCGGCGCGUUUAAGCAUGCAAGUCGAGCGGCAAGGGCCUUCGGGCCCCUAGAGCGGCGGACGGGUGAGUAACACGUGGACAAUCUGCCCCCCGGCCCGGGAUAGCCCAGGGAAACCUGGAUUAAUACCGGAUGAGACGGGACCCGCGAUGGCGGGACCCGGGAAAGGCGCUGCGGCGCCGCCGGGGGAUGAGUCUGCGUCCCAUUAGCUAGACGGCGGGGUAACGGCCCACCGUGGCGACGAUGGGUAGCCGGCCUGAGAGGGUGGACGGCCACAUUGGAACUGAGACACGGUCCAGACUCCUACGGGAGGCAGCAGCUAAGAAUCUUCCGCAAUGGGCGAAAGCCUGACGGAGCCGACGCCGCGUGAACGAAGAAGGCCGUGAGGUUGUAAAGUUCUUUUCGGGAGGGGGAACAACCGUGGCAGGGAAUGGCCGCGGGAUGACGUGAAUCCCGGAAUAAGCCCCGGCUAACUACGUGCCAGCCGCGGC
This 508-nucleotide ribosomal RNA is filed under the name uncultured bacterium. RNAcentral's name for it is "bacterial SSU rRNA". It matches the Rfam family "Bacterial small subunit ribosomal RNA", at positions 20 to 518 of the family's 1533-position model. The record is from RNAcentral.